This 287-nucleotide long non-coding RNA is filed under the name Marmota marmota marmota (Alpine marmot). Its description in RNAcentral is "lncRNA (ENSMMMG00000011706.1)". Lineage: Eukaryota; Metazoa; Chordata; Mammalia; Rodentia; Sciuridae. The record is from RNAcentral.
GGGAAGGACAAGGGAACAGAAGGAAGACUGACUGGAAGGAAGACAAGGAAACAGAACGAAGACUGCUCUGUUUCCAGAGCAGCGUCCCGGCUCCAGUUCUUCAUCUGGUGAUUGAGCUCAUAUCAGGUGUCUGAAGAAGAUAGUUUCUGAGGUUGUGGGUCAUGAUGGCUGCUGAAGCUUCUACUCCAGAUCUGAAGGGUAGCAGUGCUCAGGAGACCCCAGACACUUCCAUCCCUGAGUAUAACAUCAGAGAAGGGUGGGAAUGCUGUACUCCAGAACAAGGGGGC